Molecule: ribosomal RNA, 459 nt
Filed under: uncultured bacterium
Lineage: Bacteria
Description: partial 16S ribosomal RNA
Rfam family: Bacterial small subunit ribosomal RNA
Source: RNAcentral
CCUACGGGGCGCAGCAGUGAGGAAUAUUGGUCAAUGGACGCAAGUCUGAACCAGCCAUGCCGCGUGCAGGAAGAAGGUGCUAUGCAUUGUAAACUGCUUUUAUACGGGGGUAAUUACAGAUACGUGUAUCUGGAUGAAAGUACCGUAUGAAUAAGGAUCGGCUAACUCCGUUCCAGCAGCCGCGGUAAUACGGAGGAUCCGAGCGUUAUCCGGAUUUAUUGGGUUUAAAGGGUGCGUAUGCGGGCUUUUAAGUCAGCGGUAAAAAUUCGGGGCUCAACCCCGUCCGGCCGUUGAAACUGGGGGCCUUGAGUGGGCGAGAAGAAGGCGGAAUGCGUGGUGUAGCGGUGAAAUGCAUAGAUAUCACGCAGAACCCCGAUUGCGAAGGCAGCCUUCCGGCGCCCUACUGACGCUGAGGCACGAAAGUGCGGGGAUCGAACAGGAUUAGAUACCCGAGUAGUC